RNAcentral lists this ribosomal RNA (378 nucleotides) under Triticum aestivum (bread wheat). RNAcentral describes it as "partial small subunit ribosomal RNA". Lineage: Eukaryota; Viridiplantae; Streptophyta; Magnoliopsida; Poales; Poaceae. The record is from RNAcentral.
AAAUAUGGGCAUAUGGCAACCGAGAGACAUGCCGGGAAAAUAUACACAAGAGCUAUGUUCGAGCAAUUCGGACACAUCCUUUAUGAGUGCAGUGCGUAUCAGGUGGAGGAGAUAGAGAAAGGUAAAAGAUAUGUUACCAUACAUACUGAUGCAGUGCGUAGAGAGAAGUGGUGCAGAACUUCAUACAAUGUCACAGUUAUUAAAGGAGGUGAAGAAUUUGAUUGUGAGUGUGGUCAGUUUGCACACAUGGGUCUGCUGUGCAGCCAUAUCCUAAAAGUACUUGACUUCAUUCGUGUCACCGAAAUACCAAAGAAGCACAUAGUUAAAAGGUGGACCAGAGAUGCAGGAGAUAUCCUGCCGGGACACCUGAUGCAAUAC